UCAAAAGGAACUGAUAGAAAGUAUUAUAAAAUCAAACAGUUAAUGUAUUUUAAAGUCAACGGCGAUGAAGUAGUUCAGAUUUAUGUUCGAUUUAACAGAUUAUACUUUCAAACCCCAAAUUUUUACUUCAUAUGACUGCAUUAAAAUUCCCACAAUUGAAUUACAUUCUCUCAAAAUUUGAACAUAUCUUUUGUUAGUGCUACAAUA
RNAcentral lists this long non-coding RNA (207 nucleotides) under Mytilus galloprovincialis (Mediterranean mussel). The record is from RNAcentral. Lineage: Eukaryota; Metazoa; Mollusca; Bivalvia; Mytilida; Mytilidae.